RNAcentral lists this ribosomal RNA (274 nucleotides) under uncultured bacterium. RNAcentral describes it as "partial 16S ribosomal RNA". It matches the Rfam family "Bacterial small subunit ribosomal RNA", at positions 523 to 796 of the family's 1533-position model. The record is from RNAcentral.
ACACGAACUGCGCGAACGUUAUUGGGAAUCACUGGGCUUAAAGAGUCCGUAGGCGGCUCGGUAGGUGGGGUGAGAAAGCCCACGGCUCAACCGUGGAAUUGCGCUCCAAACCACCGGGCUUGAGGGAGAUAGAGGAGAGCGGAACUGAUGGUGGAGCGGUGAAAUGCGUUGAUAUCAUCAGGAACACCAGUGGCGAAAGCGGCUCUCUGGGACUCUUCUGACGCUGAGGCACGAAAGCUAGGGUAGCGAACGGGAUUAGAAACCCGAGUAGUCC